RNAcentral lists this ribosomal RNA (439 nucleotides) under uncultured bacterium. RNAcentral describes it as "bacterial SSU rRNA". It matches the Rfam family "Bacterial small subunit ribosomal RNA", at positions 854 to 1290 of the family's 1533-position model. The record is from RNAcentral.
AACACAAUAAGCACUCCGCCUGGGGAGUACGGUCGCAAGACUGAAACUCAAAGGAAUUGACGGGGACCCGCACAAGCAGCGGAGCAUGUGGUUUAAUUCGAAGCAACGCGAAGAACCUUACCAAGGUUUGACAUCCCCUUGACAGAUGCAGAGAUGUGUCCUCCCCUUCGGGGGCAAGGGAGACAGGUGGUGCAUGGUUGUCGUCAGCUCGUGUCGUGAGAUGUUGGGUUAAGUCCCGCAACGAGCGCAACCCUUAUCCUUAGUUGCCAGCAGGUCAAGCUGGGCACUCUAAGGAGACUGCCGAUGAUAAAUCGGAGGAAGGUGGGGAUGACGUCAAAUCAUCAUGCCCCUUAUAUCUUGGGCUACACACGUGCUACAAUGGUCGGUACAAAGGGCAGCGAAGGAGUGAUCUGGAGCAAAUCCCAAUAAACCGAUCCCA